RNAcentral lists this ribosomal RNA (1151 nucleotides) under Escherichia coli. RNAcentral's name for it is "partial 23S ribosomal RNA". It matches the Rfam family "Bacterial large subunit ribosomal RNA", at positions 1 to 1191 of the family's 2925-position model. Lineage: Bacteria; Pseudomonadati; Pseudomonadota; Gammaproteobacteria; Enterobacterales; Enterobacteriaceae. The record is from RNAcentral.
GGUUAAGCGACUAAGCGUACACGGUGGAUGCCCUGGCAGUCAGAGGCGAUGAAGGACGUGCUAAUCUGCGAUAAGCGUCGGUAAGGUGAUAUGAACCGUUAUAACCGGCGAUUUCCGAAUGGGGAAACCCAGUGUGAUUCGUCACACUAUCAUUAACUGAAUCCAUAGGUUAAUGAGGCGAACCGGGGGAACUGAAACAUCUAAGUACCCCGAGGAAAAGAAAUCAACCGAGAUUCCCCCAGUAGCGGCGAGCGAACGGGGAGCAGCCCAGAGCCUGAAUCAGUGUGUGUGUUAGUGGAAGCGUCUGGAAAGGCGUGCGAUACAGGGUGACAGCCCCGUACACAAAAAUGCACAUGCUGUGAGCUCGAUGAGUAGGGCGGGACACGUGGUAUCCUGUCUGAAUAUGGGGGGACCAUCCUCCAAGGCUAAAUACUCCUGACUGACCGAUAGUGAACCAGUACCGUGAGGGAAAGGCGAAAAGAACCCCGGCGAGGGGAGUGAAAAAGAACCUGAAACCGUGUACGUACAAGCAGUGGGAGCACAGAGCAAUCUGUGUGACUGCGUACCUUUUGUAUAAUGGGUCAGCGACUUAUAUUCUGUAGCAAGGUUAACCGAAUAGGGGAGCCGAAGGGAAACCGAGUCUUAACUGGGCGUUAAGUUGCAGGGUAUAGACCCGAAACCCGGUGAUCUAGCCAUGGGCAGGUUGAAGGUUGGGUAACACUAACUGGAGGACCGAACCGACUAAUGUUGAAAAAUUAGCGGAUGACUUGUGGCUGGGGGUGAAAGGCCAAUCAAACCGGGAGAUAGCUGGUUCUCCCCGAAAGCUAUUUAGGUAGCGCCUCGUGAAUUCAUCUCCGGGGGUAGAGCACUGUUUCGGCAAGGGGGUCAUCCCGACUUACCAACCCGAUGCAAACUGCGAAUACCGGAGAAUGUUAUCACGGGAGACACACGGCGGGUGCUAACGUCCGUCGUGAAGAGGGAAACAACCCAGACCGCCAGCUAAGGUCCCAAAGUCAUGGUUAAGUGGGAAACGAUGUGGGAAGGCCCAGACAGCCAGGAUGUUGGCUUAGAAGCAGCCAUCAUUUAAAGAAAGCGUAAUAGCUCACUGGUCGAGUCGGCCUGCGCGGAAGAUGUAACGGGGCUAAACCAUG